This 497-nucleotide ribosomal RNA is filed under the name uncultured bacterium. RNAcentral's name for it is "partial 16S ribosomal RNA". It matches the Rfam family "Bacterial small subunit ribosomal RNA", at positions 28 to 507 of the family's 1533-position model. The record is from RNAcentral.
GAUGAACGCUGGCGGCGUGCCUAAUACAUGCAAGUCGAGCGAACAGACGAGGAGCUUGCUCCUCUGACGUUAGCGGCGGACGGGUGAGUAACACGUGGAUAACCUACCUAUAAGACUGGGAUAACUUCGGGAAACCGGAGCUAAUACCGGAUAAUAUAUUGAACCGCAUGGUGCAAUAGUGAAAGACGGUUUUGCUGUCACUUAUAGAGGGAUCCGCGCCGCAUUAGCGAGUUGGUACGGUAACGGCUUACCAAGGCAACGAUGCGUAGCCGACCUGAGGGGGUGAUCGGCCACCCUGGAACUGAGCCACGGUCCAGGCUCCUACGGGAGGCAGCAGUAGGGAAUCUUCCGCAAUGGGCGAGAGCCUGGCGGAGCGGCGCCGCGUGAGUGAUGACGGUCUUCCGAUCGUAAAACUCUGUUACUAGGGAAGAACAAAUGUGUAAGUAACUAUGCACGUCUUGACGGUACCUAAUCAGAAAGCCCCGGCUAACUACGUG